GACGAACGCUGGCGGCGUGCUUAACACAUGCAAGUCGAACGGAAAGACCCUGCUUUUGUGGGGUGCUCGAGUGGCGAACGGGUGAGUAACACGUGAGUAACCUGCCCUUGACUUUGGGAUAACUUCAGGAAACUGGGGCUAAUACCGGAUAGGAGCUCCUGCUGCAUGGUGGGGGUUGGAAAGUUUCGGCGGUUGGGGAUGGACUCGCGGCUUAUCAGCUUGUUGGUGGGGUAGUGGCUUACCAAGGCUUUGACGGGUAGCCGGCCUGAGAGGGUGACCGGCCACAUUGGGACUGAGAUACGGCCCAGACUCCUACGGGAGGCAGCAGUGGGGAAUAUUGCACAAUGGGCGGAAGCCUGAUGCAGCAACGCCGCGUGCGGGAUGACGGCCUUCGGGUUGUAAACCGCUUUCGCCUGUGACGAAGCGUGAGUGACGGUAAUGGGUAAAGAAGCACCGGCUAACUACGUG
Molecule: ribosomal RNA, 468 nt
Filed under: uncultured bacterium
Lineage: Bacteria
Description: partial 16S ribosomal RNA
Rfam family: Bacterial small subunit ribosomal RNA
Source: RNAcentral